This 253-nucleotide ribosomal RNA is filed under the name uncultured bacterium. Its description in RNAcentral is "partial 16S ribosomal RNA". It matches the Rfam family "Bacterial small subunit ribosomal RNA", at positions 524 to 776 of the family's 1533-position model. The record is from RNAcentral.
UACGUAGGGGGCGAGCGUUGUCCGGAUUUACUGGGCGUAAAGCGCGUGUAGGCGGCCCGUUAAGUGGGGUGUGAAAGCCCGGGGCUCAACCCCGGGACGCCGCUUCAAACUGGCGGGCUUGAGGACGGAAGAGGGGAGUGGAAUUCCAGGUGUAGCGGUGAAAUGCGUAGAUAUCUGGAGGAACACCGGUGGCGAAGGCGGCAUUCUGGACCGAUAUUGACGCUGAGGAGCGAAAGCCAGGGGAGCAAACGGG